UUGGAGGGCAAGUCUGGUGCCAGCAGCCGCGGUAAUUCCAGCUCCAAUAGCGUAUAUUAAAGUUGUUGCAGUUAAAAAGCUCGUAGUUGAAUUUCGGGGUUCUUCCGUUGGUCAGGCUAACCAGUCUGUACUAGCGUGUAGAAUCUCUACCUUCUGGGGAACUAUCAUGUUAUUAAUUUAGCGUGGUGGGAAACCAGGACCUUUACCUUGAAAAAAUUAGAGUGUUCAAAGCAGGCUUACGUCUGAAUACAUUAGCAUGGAAUAAUAAAAUAGGACGGUGGUCCUGUUUUGUUGGUUUCUGAAUCACCGUAAUGAUUAAUAGGGAUAGUUGGGGGCAUUAGUAUUCAAUUGCCAGAGGUGAAAUUCUUGGAUUUAUUGAAGACUAACUUCUGCGAAAGCAUUUGCCAAGGAUGUUUUCAUUAAUCAAGAACGAAAGUUAGGGGAUCGAAGACGAUCAGAUACCGUCGUAGUCUUAACCAUAAACUAUGCCGACUAGGGAUCGGACGAUGUUAAAUUUUAUUGACUCGUUCGGCGCCUUACGGGAAAC
RNAcentral lists this ribosomal RNA (547 nucleotides) under uncultured Glomeromycotina. RNAcentral describes it as "SSU rRNA". It matches the Rfam family "Eukaryotic small subunit ribosomal RNA", at positions 548 to 1098 of the family's 1831-position model. Lineage: Eukaryota; Fungi; Glomeromycota. The record is from RNAcentral.